GGUGGCUCAGUGGUAGAGUGCUUGCCUUGCAUGCAUGAGGCCCUGGGUCUGAUUUCUCAGCACCA
RNAcentral lists this transfer RNA (65 nucleotides) under Dipodomys ordii (Ord's kangaroo rat). It matches the Rfam family "tRNA". From Rfam's summary of the family: Transfer RNA (tRNA) molecules are approximately 80 nucleotides in length. The record is from Rfam by way of RNAcentral. Lineage: Eukaryota; Metazoa; Chordata; Mammalia; Rodentia; Heteromyidae.